Molecule: ribosomal RNA, 1857 nt
Filed under: Nocardia mangyaensis
Lineage: Bacteria; Bacillati; Actinomycetota; Actinomycetes; Mycobacteriales; Nocardiaceae
Description: partial 23S ribosomal RNA
Rfam family: Bacterial large subunit ribosomal RNA
Source: RNAcentral
AUAGCCCGUCCCAAUCUUCGGGUUGGGGCCAGGUGUGUGGAUGGGUAGGGGAGCGUCCUGUGGCCGUGGAAGCAGCAGUGUGAACUAGCUGUGGAGGCCAUGGGAGUGAGAAUGCAGGCAUGAGUAGCGAAAGACGAGUGAGAAACUCGUCCGCCGAAUGACCAAGGGUUCCUGGGCCAGGUUAAUCCGCCCAGGGUGAGUCGGGACCUAAGGCGAGGCCGACAGGCGUAGUCGAUGGACAACGGGUUGAUAUUCCCGUACCCGUGUAUCCGCGCCCAAUGCUGAAUCAGUUGUGCUAAGUAUCCAAAUGUUGUCUUACCGAGCCUUCGGGCGAGGGGGAUGGCGGCUGCAUAUGACCCCGAUUGUAGUAGGUAAGCGAUGGGGUGACGCAGGAAGGUAGCUGGGCCAGGUGAUGGAAUACCUGGUGUAAGCGUGUAGGGAGUGUGAUAGGCAAAUCCGUCGCACAUGUAUCCUGAGACGUGAUGCGUACCCGUUGAGGGGAAUUCAGUGAUCCUAUGCUGCCGAGAAAAGCCUCUAGCGAGCUGGUACAUGGCCCGUACCCCAAACCGACACAGGUGGUCAGGUAGAGAAUACUAAGGCGAUCGAGAGAACUGUGGUUAAGGAACUCGGCAAAAUGCCCCCGUAACUUCGGGAGAAGGGGGACCACAUCUGGUGACGAUCUUUACGGUCUGAGCUGGGUGGGGUCGCAGAGACCAGAGAGAAGCGACUGUUUACUAAAAACACAGGUCCGUGCGAAGUCGUAAGACGAUGUAUACGGACUGACGCCUGCCCGGUGCCGGAAGGUUAAGAGGACCGGUUAGCCACUUGUGGCGAAGCUGAGAAUUUAAGCCCCGGUAAACGGCGGUGGUAACUAUAACCAUCCUAAGGUAGCGAAAUUCCUUGUCGGGUAAGUUCCGACCUGCACGAAUGGCGUAACGACUUCUCUGCUGUCUCAACCACAGACUCGGCGAAAUUGCAUUACGAGUAAAGAUGCUCGUUACGCGCGGCAGGACGAAAAGACCCCGGGACCUUCACUAUAGCUUGGUAUUGGUGUUCGGUACGGUUUGUGUAGGAUAGGUGGGAGACUGUGAAGCGGGCACGCUAGUGUUUGUGGAGUCGUCGUUGAAAUACCACUCUGAUCGUAUUGGACUUCUAACCUCGGACCAUGAUCUGGUUCAGGGACAGUGCCUGGUGGGUAGUUUAACUGGGGCGGUUGCCUCCUAAAAUGUAACGGAGGCGCCCAAAGGUUCCCUCAGCCUGGUUGGCAAUCAGGUGUUGAGUGCAAGUGCACAAGGGAGCUUGACUGUGAGACUGACAGGUCGAGCAGGGACGAAAGUCGGGACUAGUGAUCCGGCACCGGCAAGUGGAAGCGGUGUCGCUCAACGGAUAAAAGGUACCCCGGGGAUAACAGGCUGAUCUUCCCCAAGAGUCCAUAUCGACGGGAUGGUUUGGCACCUCGAUGUCGGCUCGUCGCAUCCUGGGGCUGGAGUAGGUCCCAAGGGUUGGGCUGUUCGCCCAUUAAAGCGGCACGCGAGCUGGGUUUAGAACGUCGUGAGACAGUUCGGUCUCUAUCCGCCGCGCGCGUUAGAAACUUGAGGAAGGCUGUCCCUAGUACGAGAGGACCGGGACGGACGAACCUCUGGUGUGCCAGUUGUUCCGCCAGGAGCACUGCUGGUUGGCUACGUUCGGAAGGGAUAACCGCUGAAAGCAUCUAAGCGGGAAGCCUGUUCCAAGAUGAGGUUUCUCUCCACCUUGAGUGGUUAAGGCCCCCUACAGACCAUGGGGUUGAUAGGCCGGAACUGGAAGCCAGGUAACUGGUGUAGGUGACUGGUACUAAUAGGCCGAGGGCUUACUUAU